AGUGAACGCUGGCGGUAGGCCUAACACAUGCAAGUCGAACGGCAGCACAGUAAGAGCUUGCUCUUACGGGUGGCGAGUGGCGGACGGGUGAGGAAUACAUCGGAAUCUACUUUUUCGUGGGGGAUAACGUAGGGAAACUUACGCUAAUACCGCAUACGACCUACGGGUGAAAGCAGGGGAUCUUCGGACCUUGCGCGAUUGAAUGAGCCGAUGUCGGAUUAGCUAGUUGGCGGGGUAAAGGCCCACCAAGGCGACGAUCCGUAGCUGGUCUGAGAGGAUGAUCAGCCACACUGGAACUGAGACACGGUCCAGACUCCUACGGGAGGCAGCAGUGGGGAAUAUUGGACAAUUGGCGCAAGCCUGCUCCAGCCAUACCGCGUGGGUGAAGAAGGCCUUCGGGUUGUAAAGCCCUUUUGUUGGGAAAGAAAAGCAGCAGGUUAAUACCCCGCUGUUCUGACGGUACCCAAAGAAUAAGCACCGGCUAACUUCGUG
Molecule: ribosomal RNA, 492 nt
Filed under: uncultured bacterium
Lineage: Bacteria
Description: partial 16S ribosomal RNA
Rfam family: Bacterial small subunit ribosomal RNA
Source: RNAcentral